GCCCGGCUAGCUCAAUCGGUAGAGCGUGAGACUCUUAGCUUUCACGUCCUAAAGACUCGAUUGGUUAUCUCAAGGUUGUGGGUUCGACCCCCACGUCGGGCU
Alternaria alternata is the source of this 102-nucleotide transfer RNA. It matches the Rfam family "tRNA". Rfam says of the family: Transfer RNA (tRNA) molecules are approximately 80 nucleotides in length. Their secondary structure includes four short double-helical elements and three loops (D, anti-codon, and T loops). Further hydrogen bonds mediate the characteristic L-shaped molecular structure. tRNAs have two regions of fundamental functional importance: the anti-codon, which is responsible for specific mRNA codon recognition, and the 3' end, to which the tRNAs corresponding amino acid is attached (by aminoacyl-tRNA synthetases). tRNAs cope with the degeneracy of the genetic code in two manners: having more than one tRNA (with a specific anti-codon) for a particular amino acid; and 'wobble' base-pairing, i.e. permitting non-standard base-pairing at the 3rd anti-codon position. The record is from Rfam. NCBI's taxonomy places the organism in Eukaryota, Fungi, Ascomycota, Dothideomycetes, Pleosporales, Pleosporaceae.